RNAcentral lists this ribosomal RNA (529 nucleotides) under Cladosporium oxysporum. RNAcentral's name for it is "eukaryotic LSU rRNA". The stretch from base 157 to 310 matches the Rfam family "5.8S ribosomal RNA". Lineage: Eukaryota; Fungi; Ascomycota; Dothideomycetes; Cladosporiales; Cladosporiaceae. The record is from RNAcentral.
AGGCCCGUGACCCGGUCUACACCGGGAUGUUCAUAACCCUUUGUUGUCCGACUCUGUUGCCUCCGGGGCGACCCUGCCUUCGGGCGGGGGCUCCGGGUGGACACUUCAAACUCUUGCGUAACUUUGCAGUCUGAGUAAACUUAAUUAAUAAAUUAAAACUUUUAACAACGGAUCUCUUGGUUCUGGCAUCGAUGAAGAACGCAGCGAAAUGCGAUAAGUAAUGUGAAUUGCAGAAUUCAGUGAAUCAUCGAAUCUUUGAACGCACAUUGCGCCCCCUGGUAUUCCGGGGGGCAUGCCUGUUCGAGCGUCAUUUCACCACUCAAGCCUCGCUUGGUAUUGGGCAACGCGGUCCGCCGCGUGCCUCAAAUCGACCGGCUGGGUCUUCUGUCCCCUAAGCGUUGUGGAAACUAUUCGCUAAAGGGUGCUCGGGAGGCUACGCCGUAAAACAAACCCAUUUCUAAGGUUGACCUCGGAUCAGGUAGGGAUACCCGCUGAACUUAAGCAUAUCAAUAAGACGGGAAGACAGGGU